CGUUCGGGCGACCAAUUGGAUUGCGCACGCGCACGUCGUGCCCGCACGACGUGCCUGGUUGCCUGGUUACCGCGUGCGGCGAUGGCAGCUAGAGCCUGGAAUCUGGCCGCGCCCAGCCUAGCCCCCAGCAUCGGGUCCUCACAGCUGGCCCAGGCUGCAGCCGGUAGCCACAUACCGCAGUUCCCUGCAGUCGGGCGUUCAAGCGUGCCCUACUGGACAGCGGUGAUACCACGAGGUCACCGCCGCCGCCCCUCCCUCACAUCGCCACCCUUGCAUCCAACUCUGGCCUCGUGACCCUCAGAAGAGCCCUGCAGUGGCACCCACACCUGGGCCUUGGGUCCCAACAAGACUGGGGCCCUGCCCUGCCUGGUGCACGUAUGCUGGAGAGGGAGUCUGGCCUGCUCUGGGGUGAAUGUCAGGUUUCAGCCCCUGCCCCGGACCUUCAGGGAAGACAUAUUAGAAAGAGGCUGGUGGUGCCAGGGAUGGAACCCUGGGCUUCACAGAAGCCAAGCAAAGGCUGACCACUGAGAGAGCCCCCUUCUUUUCUUCUGAAUGUGGCUACGGUAAUUUUUUUUUUUUUCUUUUUCCUUUUUAUCGGUACCAGGGAUCGAACUCACGACUGCCUGCUUGCAAGGCAGGUCCUUAUGCCGCUGAGCUAAAUCCCCAGCCCGCUACCGUAAUAUUAAACUAUAAACUAUUAAAUGCUUCGGUUGUGUUUCCA
Molecule: long non-coding RNA, 721 nt
Organism: Cavia porcellus (domestic guinea pig)
Lineage: Eukaryota; Metazoa; Chordata; Mammalia; Rodentia; Caviidae
Exons: 3
Source: RefSeq, a predicted model, not a curated record